This 339-nucleotide ribosomal RNA is filed under the name uncultured bacterium. Its description in RNAcentral is "bacterial SSU rRNA". It matches the Rfam family "Bacterial small subunit ribosomal RNA", at positions 28 to 385 of the family's 1533-position model. The record is from RNAcentral.
GACGAACGCUGGCGGCGUGCUUAACACAUGCAAGUCAAGGACCGUAGCAAUACGGUACUGGCGCACGGGUGCGGAACACGUAGGCAAUCUGCCCGGAAAGGGAGAACAACCAGCCGAAAGGUUGGCUAAAUCUCCGUAAAAUCAUAGAGUGGCAUCACUUAUUGAUCAAGUUUUUUCGGAUGAGCCUGCGUCUGAUUAGAUAGUUGGCGGGGUAACGCCACCAAGUCUGCGAUCAGUAGCUGGUCUGAGAGGAUGAUCAGCCACAUUGGGACUGAGAUACGGCCCAGACUCCUACGGGAGGCAGCAGUGAGGAAUAUUGCUCGAAUGGGGGAAACCCUG